CCUUCCCUCUCUCUCUCCCUCCCUCCUUCCCUCCUCUCUUUGAGCUAGUAUGUGUCUAGUAAUACCAUAGGCCUGACUCCAGAUGUUCUUUCUUUCUUGCCAUGGUGGUUCCUGACCCCGGACGCCAGCCCUUAUUCCCAGUUCCACAUCUGCCCUCAGUGGACUCAGUGAUGUAUGGGAUACAGUUCACCCAUGAGGAUUUGAUUACAGUUCACACCAUCCAUCCUACUUCAGACCCAUUCAGGUAAUCCCUACCUUCCUAAUGUUCACAUCUGAGUCUCAAAUUCUGACUCAUUUCAUUUGAUGGUUUACCAUCUGAGAACACUCUAGACCCUCAUGAGAAGAGCUCAGACUGUGUUUGCGGCAGUUUGCAACCCCUGAAUGUGGUGCCUUGGCAAGCACUGAGUGCUACAGGCUAGAGUCUAAAGCUUUGCUUUCAGGGUGGUACAUACAUGGAAGAUACCACAGUUAAGUUCCCCCUGUUGCCCAGAAUUUUCUGGGUAAGCAAAGUAACCAAUCUUAGAACAUUCAACAACUUUAAAAUAGCUUUAGUUGUUCUUGGAAUUGCAUCACCGCCAUUAUCACCACCACUACCGAUGGUGCCACCAUCAUCACCAACACCAUGAUCACUACCACCAUCACAACCUCUGUUGCUACCAUUCCCACCAUACCAUUGCUACCACCACAAUCACCACCGCUACCCCCAACAUCAUCACAAUCAUCACAGCCAUCGCCACUACUAUCAUCACUAUCAUCACAACCAUUCCAUCAUCACUAAUAUUGUCCCCAUCACUACAGCCAUCAUCAGUAUCAUCUUAAGUAUCACCACCUACCAUGAUGACCACCUCCAAUAACACCACUGUUACCACUAACACUACCAUCAAAACCAUCAUUACUAUUACCACCAUCACCAUUACCAGCAACAAUAACAUCACCACCACCACUACAACCAUCCUGACUAUCACUACUAUCAACAAUGCCAUCAACUCCAAUAACACCGUCACUACCAUUAUUAACACAACCACCACUACCACCAUGACUACCACUAUCAACAACAGUGCUUUGACAGUAUAACUAUCACGAUCAUCAUCACUACCAUAAUCACUACCACUACCUCCACCACCACCACCACCACCAUCACCACCAACAUAACAACAAUACUAUACCAACACCACCAUCACCACCACUGCCAUCAUGGCUACUGCCAAUGUCAGUGAGACUUCUCCCUCAUCUUGCCCUGAGAUGUAUCACCCAUGUUCUGUCCUCUUACUUAGCCUUGACUUUGACACAUAUUCAGAGAUACCACAUUGGUCAUGCGUGACCUGUUUGGGUGUGCACCACUCCAAGCAGACCCUGCCAUCCCUGGCUGAGGUGCUUGAACUUGAUGACCUCUGACCUCUGCUGCCCAGGACAGAACUUGGUGUAAAACUUGAGCAUGGAGAUUGCUGGGGAAAGGUAAAGAUCAAUGAAGGCAAAACACACAGCCCAUCCUGAGUCCAGAGUAUGUGUCUGACUCUAGGUUCUGUAUCCCCCAAGCACAGAUGGUCCCUGCUUGCUGCUGGGGCCUGCCCUCCUCCUCCAGCUCCACUCUUCCUUUGCCUGUCCCUUUUUAGAAGAUGUGUAACCCUAAUCCUUGAAAUUGCCUGGCAUGAAUUUUAUUCCCUGCUUAAAUAAAUCUCACUCCCCCACGAAGUUUGGACAGGACGCAGGCAAUCAGACUAGGGCUUGGAACCGAAUGUUUUGCAAAAGACCUCUUUCAAAAUUUGAAACCCGGUGGUCACAAGCCAGAGCUGAGUCUGACUUGGGAGAAUGUAUGUUCUGUGACCCCCCUCCCAAAAGAAGAGAGGGAGUGAAGGCUAAAACAAGUCCUCCUGUCACUGAGCCCAUGGACGAUUUGCAAGACUGAAAACCCUGUGGUUUAGUUCUGUUUCUCUGAUGGAACUGGAGAGAGAUUGGUCCCCUCCCUAGCUCUUCUCUCAAGCUUUUGGCAAAAGCCUCAAUCCUCCCCUAGCCAGCAAGGGCCUAAAAAAAUCACAGAGAGUGCAUGGCAUGGAUUGGUGUAGAAUUCUGGCCCAGGCUAUAGGAGUGUAGGGGUAGGACCAGUGUGAACUGUGUCCCAAGGCCUCACUUUUCCAAAGGAGGGAAUGAUUAGGAGACCUGAUAUUUUCUUUCUUCGCCCAGGGAGGUACCCUUGUGUAUCCUUGGAGAAGUCCCAGAACUCAACUGUAAGAAACAAGUUGGUUUCUUUUCACUGUUGGUCAUGUGUAUCUCCUACUCCAUGCCAUGUGGGCAUGCUCUGCCUGGCAGACUGCUGGAAGCAGGCAGAAGCUCCCCCAGAUAGAGAGUGUGUUUUUCCAUCUCUUCAAAGUCUUCAUGGCCCACCUGUGUCUGCACCUCUAUAUCCAGAUGGAGUGAAACAUGCUGACCUCUUUGGCCCAGCUCUUUUGGCCUGCCUCUCAAGCUCCCGGGAGGACUCAGCAUUUUUCUUUGGCUUUUAUAAAGAGAGACAUUGCUUCCCUUCAUCAGAGAAUUGAGCUGACCAUGUGAUUGUCUAGCCCUGCCUCAGUUUUCCCAUGUGUAAUAGGGACACUAUGGUAACAUGAGUUCUCCAUCACUGUUUUAGCUUUUGAGGGAGCUAAGGUUUGUUUCACCUGACCUAGACUUAGGUGCAUACUUCCUUCUUCCCAUCCUCCCAGGUCCCCCUGCAUGCUUGCUCUUAAUUUCAGAUGCAGUUGAUGAUAUUUUAUUUCCCCUUAAACUCAUACGCUCUCUCACCAUCGUCUUUAGGACUGUGUAGAAGUUAUCCUUCCUGUUACCAGAGCCCGUUCUCAGCAUAGUUCCGGUAUCAGCAGUGGCCGGAGACUGUGGCUAGUUCUUCAGCCAGCUCUAGGGCUCCCUUGCAUCAGCUGUCCCUUCACCUCUGCUGCAUGGGGUAUUUUUGAGCUCCUGGCUUCAUUUAGUGAUGUACCUAACUAUGAUGGUCUCUGAGGAGCCCAAAACCACAGGUCAGAUCUCAGACAUCUUAAAAAAAAAAAAAACUGAACUAUUUUGUCUUUCUUAGAGAACUCUCUGCUAUUUCCUCACAGUCUAGGCCCUAUUCUUCUUUCAAAAACAAAGGCUUAGAUGAGCAGAGGGAACCCAGCUCUGUCUUCAUAUCUGGGGUGUGUCUCCUUUCUAGACAUUUUUGUGUCUACUCAGAGCCUUAUUCUCUAGCUUCCAUCCUAUUUGUAUUGUAACAUGUUCUAUGAUUUGCUCAUUGGAAUAACAGAGCUUAGGUAACUCCCAGUUUAGUGACCAUUCUGAAAGCCAUGCAGAGAAGCAUCUGGAAUGGUCCUUCCUGCCAGUACCCAACCCAAAUAGCAUUUUUCCAAAGACAUGGCUCACAUAGGUUACAGCCCAGCAGCAUGGUUCCCUUCUCUUUCUUUUGUGUAGAAUCAGAGCCAUCCCGUACCCUACUCUGGCUCUCUAAGCUCACCUCACCCCAAAGCUUGGUUAUUGGCACUCAUUAGCUCCAGUACGCUUCAUUCUGUGACUGUGGGGGCAGAUUCAGUGGGUACCCAACUGUCAUUAACCUUGGCCCAUUUUUCCCUAGCAAUGAGAGCCAUGGAGUUCAACUCUUGGGCCAAGAAUGAUGUGGCCAGAACUAUCACACUCCCAGGAUCCAAGCAAGCUGCUGGGCCCUAAAUUCUCAAAUAAUAAGAGCCUGUGAAAAGCACCCAUGGUGGUCACCAAGCGGAUGGGACAGUGACCACAUAGGAAGCAGUGGACUCUGCAGACAUAAGUCACGGUCCCCCGAAACAGAACCUUUAGAGGCUUGGUUGCCUGAUCCAGCUUCCUGUGAGGACAAAUGCCAAAGGAGCAGUACCAAUCUUGCUGGGAGGACCUCUCAACCAGUGUGGCGUUGUAAACUUGGGGAAGAUGAAGGCCACUGAGACAGUUCUACCCCAAAUCACACAGGUGGGUUGCAUUCACAUUGCAUCUAAUAGGUUAGACACAGCCAUCCCCACGCAUAUCUAGACUGCCUUGGAGGCAAUGUGAUGGGCUGUCAAUCAACCAACCCACAGCACAGGAUUGUCUAUUGUACAAAACACCCACUGUGACAGAUAGUGCCUAGACCCAAGCCUUUCAGCCUCCAGAUUAUCCUGAAAGGAUGCUCUGGAUACAGUCACUGACUUUGGGAAUGAAAGCUGGUUCUGAGAUCAGGAAGCUCCUUGAAGUCUCCCUAGAACUGGACAAAGCUGGGCCCCUGUUCUAACAGAAUGCAAGAGUGACCUUAUUUUGGCUGUAAGGAAAUGCUUGAUGUUAAACCAACUAGAGAGAUGCUUUGUCCUCAGUCUUGAUCUGGGGAGAGUUGAGUAAUGGCUGAGCACUGGGCGUGGCCCACUGACUGUGGUGUCCAGUGGACUCUCAGGAGGUACUGCUGGUGCUGAAGCUCAAUUCUGCUUCUGCAGGUGAUGUAGCUUUCAGUACAUGAGGAGAAAAUUUCCUUUGUGGUAUAUUUCUUGGGGCCAGAUAUUCUGGCAGCUCUUUGUCAGUAGCAAAUACCUGGUUACGAAGCUUCCUGGACCAGGCAGUAGUUGCCAGCCCUAGACCAGGGUGAAUAAGCUGAGGCAAGGGCUUUUCAUGUUCUGCAUGGUAUCUGGCACACACCCCAGGACCUUUUGUGUGAAGAACUUGCUGGAGGAGGUGCUGACUUUUAAGAAAGUCAGUGGUUCUCGUUUGUAGGGCUCCAUCUAGGGGGUAGGGCCUGACCCCUCCUGACUCAUUCUUCUGCUUUGCUCUGCAGAAGGUGACAGAGGCUCACUUCCAUCCCCCCCCACUCCAUAAUGUGUCUGUUUUCAGAUCUUACCCUCCCUGGAUACUGCCCAGACUCAGAGCCAGCGUCUACACAGCACCUGGGGCCUAGCUUACUUCAGACCACCCACUUGCCUCUUGGACCCAGAAUCUGAGGAUCAUUCUGGAACACCCUGAUGUACUACUUUUGUUUUUAGAUGAAAGCUGCAUUUCCCUGGUUAUCUCCUGAGGCCUGCACAAUUUCUGGGGCUCUGGUUCCCUUCUACAAACCCUUAAACCUGGAGAGAAAUGGAGUGCAAAUGGUCUGUGUUGGUGGGAUAUAUUCUCAGGCAAUUCUGCUAUCAAAUUUUAAAGGGUUUUUGGUUGCUCUCCAGGGGCCACUGAACCAGAUGCUUAAGGCAGACACUCCUACCAAGACACAUGACAUCUGGUGCUUUGCAUCCAUGAAGACUCGACAGUUCCAUUUUUGUUUGCCUUUGUUUGCUUUCUGACCAGUGCUAAUUGAUACUUGAAGGAGAGGUAGUCCGUGUUGUCUUCUCUUUAUUUAUGAUGAAACAUACACGGGAAACCUCUUUUUUAGUAUCAAAUCCCACCCUGGAGGUACUUCCUGUCCCUGAUGAAGCCUUCAGGGAAGGGACCUUGACUGCUGUACCCUGGACUGUGGGACAUGGGGGUAUGGCCUCAGGACUCGGCCUGGGAGGGGAAGUCAAGUUUGAAGAAAGGCCAGGGUCCCUGUGGUGGUGGGAGGCUGCCCCCUGUGGCUUUGGACUGUGUGAUGACUCUUGGUGUGUGGUGGCUUUUCAGAAGGUCCUCCUCAAAGUAGCUGUAGAACACUCCAGCAACGUGACUGAAGGGCCGAUAGUGCCCUCUGCUUUCAGGGUAGCUGUGAGGAUGGUAGACCGGUGACGUACACUUCAUUUAUGAUGUAGGUCACCUGUUUCACUAUCCGCCAGUACCCAGACCAUCUGGGAUGACGCCUUGGUGCACAUGGCAGCUGUAAAGAAGAUGUGGGUGGGGUUGAAUCCAGUGUGAAUCUAAAGUAUUUCAAGUGGGGUUACCUUUUAAGGGAAUUCUUGUUUUGCUUGUGUGUGUCCCUGUAAGUACGUGUUCACAUGGUGUGUGUGUGUGUGUGUGUAUGUAUGCAUGC
Molecule: long non-coding RNA, 5941 nt
Organism: Peromyscus leucopus (white-footed mouse)
Lineage: Eukaryota; Metazoa; Chordata; Mammalia; Rodentia; Cricetidae
Exons: 3
Source: RefSeq, a predicted model, not a curated record